AUUGAACGCUGGCGGCAGGCCUAACACAUGCAAGUCGAACGAGUGGCGGACGGGUGAGUAAUGUCUGGGAAACUGCCCGAUGGAGGGGGAUAACUACUGGAAACGGUAGCUAAUACCGCAUACCAUCGGAUGUGCCCAAAUGGGAUUAGCUAGUAGGUGGGGUAACGGCUCACCUAGGCGACGAUCCAUAGCUGGUCUGAGAGGAUGACCAGCCAAACUGGAACGGAUACCCGGUCCAGACUCCUACGGGAGGCAGCAGUGGGAAUUAUUGCACAAUGGGCGCAAGCCUGAUGCAGCCAGGCCGCGUGUAUGAAGAAGGCCUUCGGGUUGUAAAGUACUUUCAGCGAGGAGGCGUUACUCGCAGAAGCAGCACCGGCUAACUCCGUGCCAGCAGCCGCGGUAAUUC
This 406-nucleotide ribosomal RNA is filed under the name uncultured bacterium. RNAcentral's name for it is "partial 16S ribosomal RNA". It matches the Rfam family "Bacterial small subunit ribosomal RNA", at positions 30 to 526 of the family's 1533-position model. The record is from RNAcentral.